RNAcentral lists this ribosomal RNA (638 nucleotides) under Certonotus annulatus. RNAcentral's name for it is "eukaryotic LSU rRNA". Lineage: Eukaryota; Metazoa; Arthropoda; Insecta; Hymenoptera; Ichneumonidae. The record is from RNAcentral.
CCUGUGAAACCCAAAAGAUCGAAUGGGGAGAUUCAUCGUCAGCGAUCCUGGUGUUUGUACGGUUCGCGAUGUCGGGGACCUCGGUCCUGCGGCACGCGUCCGUAUGUUCGUCAUACCGGGUGUCGUCGGCGUGCACUUCUCCCCUAGUAGGACGUCGCGACCCGUUGGGUGUCGGUCUACGGCCCGAGCGGGAGCCUGGCCGGCGUGCGCUUCACGGCGUUACGCUGGUCAGACCCUCGGAUUUGCCUGACCGGCUGCCCGGCGGUACUCGCACGGUAUCGAGCCGCAAAUAUUAGAACUGCGUCCGGCCCGGCGCAAGCGAGACCAUUGUUAACCCGGACGUACGGAUCCAAUGCCGUCGCCGGGCAUGGUCGGCUGCUGGCUGUCGGUGCCCUGGGACAGGCUCAAUUAUUAUGAUACCGGUCGGCGACGCUACUGCUUUGGGUACUCUCAGGACCCGUCUUGAAACACGGACCAAGGAGUCUAACAUGUGCGCGAGUCAUUGGGAACUCAUAAGCCUAAAAGCGCAAUGAAAGUGAAGGUCGGCCUCGCGCCGACCGAGGGAGGAUUGGCCGCGUCACGAUGCGGUCACGCACUCCCGGGGCGUCUCGUUCUCAUUGCGAGAAGAGGCGCACCCA